AAUAAAAUCGGAAAAAAACGCCCAGCCCUAUGAGGAACUAAUGCUUCCAGUCUCAUUUGACCUCAAAAAAGCCUAAUUGUUUUACCUCUUCUCAGUGUGCAGAAGCUGAGUGAAUUUCUUGGCAGCACUGAGAUCAAGAUCGAUCAGGAUCCUGCAGUGCAAACUACAGCGACAGAAAACAACAACAGCAACAUUAAGUCUGUGUAUGCAUUACAGCUCCAGGCCAAACUCGUGAAUCGUAAGAAUAAAGCCAAGCAGGACGUGAACAGGAACUUUGAGCAGCAGGACCAGGAGCUGACGGCAUCAGCCAAUCAGGACGAGGACGUGUGCAUAAAGAUUGUGAACGGCUACUUCACAUGGACGCAGGGAUGCCCGACUCUCACCAAUAUCGACAUAAAGGUUCCUUUCGGUCAGCUGACGAUGAUCGUAGGGCAGGUGGGAUGUGGGAAAUCCUCUCUUUUGCUGGCAGCACUGGGAGAGAUGCAGAAGAUUUCUGGAAACAUCACAUGGAACAGGUAAAAAUCAACAUAAUGCCGUAUUAUACU
This is a long non-coding RNA of Sinocyclocheilus rhinocerous, 545 nucleotides long. RefSeq lists it as uncharacterized. NCBI's taxonomy places the organism in Eukaryota, Metazoa, Chordata, Actinopteri, Cypriniformes, Cyprinidae. The record is from RefSeq and is a predicted model, not a curated record. The transcript has 4 exons.